GGUUGAUUGGCUCUGCUUAAAAUUGUCCCUGGUGUCAGGAGAACUGGCAUGAAAGAUUUGCAGCGGAUGCCAAAAUGUCCAGCGGAGAAAGUUUAAGCAUCAGGCAAACAAAAAUGAACUAAUGGGAAGGGUCAUAAGAUUCAGAAGCCAUCUUGUGUUCAUUCGUGCAAAAUGCCCAGAGGAGCACGAACAGACUAAAUGGUAAUAUAUUUGAGGUUAGAACACAAAGUGCUUGAGUAACUUAGCGGAAGCCUCUGUGGAGGACAUAGAUCCUUCUUCAGAGUGGUGCAGCUGGUAGAGCUGCUAUCUUAUAAUGCUGUCUGUGUGGAGUUUGCACGUUCUCCCCGUGAUCGCGCGGGUUUCCUCUGCAGUUUUCUACCAUGUCCCAAAGACAAGAGGAUUUGUAGGUUAAUUGGCCUCUAUUAAUUACCCAUAAGGCGUAGGGAGUGGAUGAAAAAGUGGGAUAACAGAACUAAUGAACGGGUGAUCGAUGGUCGGCUGAAGGUCUGUUUACAUACUGUAUCUCUAAACUAAACUCAUCUUAAUUGCAGGUGCUACUGGUUUGCUGAUAUCAGUUCUGCAGAGCAUUAUUAAUGUGAUAAAACAAAGUUGUCACUCUGUUCUAAAUCUAUAUUUAUUCUAUGCACCUCAGGAAAUUGCAACUAGUAUUCCAUGGUGCAGCUGUGCCAGAGAACAUUAUCCUUAUAACUGUGAAUUAAUACUAAUCAAUCAUAUUACUCUCCAGCUUUUUUGUGUAACCUUCGAUUCUCCAGCAUCUGCAGUUCUUUCUUAAACAAUCAUAUUACUGCGUUGAAUUUUAGUAUCUGCAAAUUAAAAAUGCGUUUGGCCUAACCAUUGCUCCAUUAGUUUUGGAUGCAUCCAAUUACAACAUGAAUGCAGGUUAUUGUAGGACCAGUGACAGACUGUGUGGCUUGGCUGGCAGAUAUUAUAAGGACCUAAGAUUUGAAGAUGUUAAAUCCCAUCUUCCAAUAAUUUAUGUUUAAGAAGGAACUGCAGAUGCUGGAAAUUCUGUCUGAAGAAGGGUCUCGACCCGAAAUGUUGCCUAUUUCCUUCGCUCCAUAGAUGCUGUCUUACUCGCUGAGUUUCUCCAGCAUUUUUGUCUACCUUCCAAUAAUUGAUGGUCAUUAUUUUCAUCCAUAAUUUGUCAAACCAUGGCCGUGCUUGGAUUCCUCUCAAUUGGUGUCCCAGUGGAAGGCAAUGCAACUUCCAUCAAGGGUCCCGCACACAUUAUAUUGCCCAUACUCAAGUCCAGCUCUGAAUGAAAGUGCAUAAUACAUCUAUCUACUGUGCCCCUUACAACAGAUGGAGGAGGAAGGGAAGAGAAGAAAGCAGGAAUGAAAAGAUUUAAAAAAAGCAGUUGGGGAAAAGGAUUAAAUGAGGGGUCCCCCACAGCUCUGUGUAAAAAAAACUUUUCUCCCUCUCCCUUUACAGCUCCGCCCUCUAGUGUUGAACAUUUUCACCCUGGGGAGAAAGGUUCUGACUGUCCUCCCUUAAUGCCACACCGACCCAUAGCUGGGCAGCAUGGUGGCACAGCGGUAGAGUUGCUACCGUACUGCGCAGAGAUCUGAGAUUUAUCCUGACUACGGGUGCUGCCUGGACGGAGUUUGCACGUUCUCCCUGUGACCGCGUGGAUUUUCCCUGGGUGUUCCGGUUUCCCCCCCCCACACUCCAAAGACGUACAGUGUUUCAGACUUCAAUAGACUUGACAGCAAUAUCAAAGGCUCACAAUCCUGCGAAUGAAGAUGUUUCUGCUCUGCUCGGUCCCACAUAAACACAAAAAGCCAAUGACAAGGAAAGUGCUGAAGACAUUCAGCAGGUCAGGCAGCACUCCAUGUGGCCUGAAAACAGACGGAACACUUCAUCAGACCUGGUGGAGCGAGGAAAUGAGCUUUACAUUGCAGAGAGGGAGGGGUAGAGAGAACAAAAGUAGUAUUUGUCAUCGGGUGUACUUCAUUUUUAUUUCAGAUUUCCAGCAUCUUAAGAUUUUUAAUUUUCAACAAAAUAUUGAAUGUUGUCCAAAGUGCAUAUUGUCUCUCCCACCCCAUCGCUCACAUAGCUUAUACUCGUGGGUGGAACAAGUCAAGAAAUGAAACUUUACUGUAUUAGAAACAUACUUUAAAUAUUUUAAUAAAGGUGAAACCAGU
Molecule: long non-coding RNA, 2165 nt
Organism: Leucoraja erinaceus (little skate)
Lineage: Eukaryota; Metazoa; Chordata; Chondrichthyes; Rajiformes; Rajidae
Exons: 2
Source: RefSeq, a predicted model, not a curated record